Molecule: long non-coding RNA, 876 nt
Organism: Choloepus didactylus (southern two-toed sloth)
Lineage: Eukaryota; Metazoa; Chordata; Mammalia; Pilosa; Megalonychidae
Exons: 3
Source: RefSeq, a predicted model, not a curated record
CUAAGGUGUUUGAGUUAACCUAAUGGGGAGGAGAAGCUGUUUUAAAAACAUGCUAAUCAGAAAACCUGGACUCUAAUCUGCUUCCUGCAAGAACAGCUCUCUGGAGAAGAAUGAGAAUCACAGAAAACAAACCAGAAGCUUUUCUUCCUGUGGCAACAGGAAGUGACCUGUGAAAGUCAUCUUCCUGCCAAGGCUUCGGUGUGGGGAGGCAGCAUCGAAGAGUUACAAAAGCACAACUUGGACUCAAAAGAGACCUGGAGUUGAGCCCCAGCUCUGCCACAUCCCUGUUGUUUGAUGUUGGAUAAGUCGUUUACCCUCUCUGGCUUCAGUUUCCUCACCUGUAAAAUAAGGAUAAUAUAGUUCUACUUCAUGACAUUCCUGAGAAGUGUAUAUGUGAAAGCAAAGGAAUAAGGUGCUUAGUGCAACAGCUGACACACAGAAGAACUUUGCAGAACACACUAGCUUUGAUGUCAGGAAAGUUUUUUGGGGAUGGUACUUGCUGAGCCCCCAAACUGUCCGAGACGAAAGGCCAGGUGCUCAAGGAGUCCAGUCUCCAACCUAGGGGAGGAAUGACUGCCUUCUUGGAGGGAACCCUUAUCUCAUUAGAUCUUGCUAAGACAGCAGCCAGCAAACCUGUUUUGCAAAAGACAAGAGAGUAAAUACCUUAGGUGUUUUUGAGCCCUAUAUUUCCUAUUGCAGCUACUCAGCCUUGCCAUUGGAGCAAAAACAGCCAUAGACAAUACUUAUGCAUUGCUGUGGUCCAAUAAAGCUGUAUUUACCCAAACAGGAGGCAAACUGAAUUUGGCUCAUGGGCCGUAGUCUGCUGUCCACUGCUCUAGGAGAACGUAAUUCAAAAGCAGUCAAAGUCUUGCACAA